UACAGAGGGUGCUAGCGUUGUUCGGAAUCAUUGGGCGUAAAGCGCACGUAGGCGGCUUCGCAAGUCGGAUGUGAAAUCCCUCGGCUCAACCGAGGACGUGCAUACGAAACUGCGGAGCUUGAGUGCUGAAGAGGAUCGCGGAAUUCCCGGUGUAGAGGUGAAAUUCGUAGAUAUCGGGAGGAACACCAGUGGCGAAGGCGGCGAUCUGGGCAGACACUGACGCUGAGGUGCGAAAGCGUGGGGAGCAAACAGG
RNAcentral lists this ribosomal RNA (253 nucleotides) under uncultured bacterium. RNAcentral describes it as "partial 16S ribosomal RNA". It matches the Rfam family "Bacterial small subunit ribosomal RNA", at positions 524 to 776 of the family's 1533-position model. The record is from RNAcentral.